CCUACGGGAGGCAGCAGUGAGGAAUAUUGGUCAAUGGGCGCCAGCCUGACCCAGCCAAGUAGCGUGAAGGAUGACUGCCCUACGGGUUGUAAACUCUUUUUAUAAAGGCAUAAAGUGAGGCGCGUGUGCCUUAUUGUAUGUACUUUAUGAAUAAGGAUCGGCUAACUCCGUGCCAUCAGCCGCGGUAAUACGUAGGAUCCGAGCGUUAUCCGGAUUUAUUGGGUGUAAAGGGAGCGUAGAUGGGUUGUUAAGUCAGUUGUGAAAGUUUGCGGCUCAACCGUAAAAUUGCAAUUGAUACUGGCAGUCGUGAGUACAGUUGAGGUAGGCGGAAUUCGUGGUGUAGCGGUGAAAUGCUUAGAUAUAACGAAGAACUCCGAUUGCGAAGGCAGCUUACUAAACUGCCACUGACAUUGAUGCUCGAAAGUGUGGGUAUCAAACAGGAUUAGAUACCCUAGUAGUC
RNAcentral lists this ribosomal RNA (460 nucleotides) under uncultured bacterium. RNAcentral describes it as "partial 16S ribosomal RNA". It matches the Rfam family "Bacterial small subunit ribosomal RNA", at positions 338 to 795 of the family's 1533-position model. The record is from RNAcentral.